RNAcentral lists this transfer RNA (87 nucleotides) under Gammaproteobacteria bacterium. Its description in RNAcentral is "tRNA-Leu". It matches the Rfam family "tRNA". From Rfam's summary of the family: Transfer RNA (tRNA) molecules are approximately 80 nucleotides in length. Their secondary structure includes four short double-helical elements and three loops (D, anti-codon, and T loops). RNAcentral also lists the same sequence under 1 other name. The record is from RNAcentral. Lineage: Bacteria; Pseudomonadati; Pseudomonadota; Gammaproteobacteria.
GCCGGGGUGGUGAAACUGGUAGACACAGGGGAUUCAAAAUCCCCCGCCUUCGCAGGCUUGCGGGUUCGAGUCCCGCCCCCGGUACCA